GGCUACACAAGUAGUGAAAAUAAACUAUGGAAGCAACAAGAGUAUCAAGAUUCAAGAACAAGAACAAGACAUAACCUCAAAUCAGUUAACUUAAGUGUGCUGAUAUUUUGUUUAGUGUGUGUCACUGUUAGUUUAGAGUUGUUAUUUUUGUGACUGGGUAUUGGCAUAACCUACACCGAACAUCUUUUCACGUUUUGAUCCUUGGAGUAUUUGAUAACUCUGCAGCUUUGGUGGAAUUUAUUAUUUGGUAGCAGUGAAUAAUUUGCCUACGGUACCAAUUCUCCCGAGUGACAAAGUGGCUGUAAGGAGGAAUAAAUUUUUCUUUUGCAAUCUGCAUCUGAAGCCAGCUAUCUUGCAGGCAGAACCGGUACGCAAGAACACUAGGAUCGUGGUGUAAUGGAAAUAUAUGUUGUUGCUACUAUAAUCAAGAAUUGGCUUCGCCCAGCAAAGUUUAGGAUUGAUGCAAGGAACAAUAGAAAACUCAAGAAGGCCAUUUGGGAGAUGAAGAAGACCAGAAUUAUUUUUUUUGUAAAUUGUACAUAUCUUUUUUAUAUUUGUGUUUAAAUAAUUUUUAAUUAAACUUAUUUUAUC
This is a long non-coding RNA of Macrosteles quadrilineatus (aster leafhopper), 591 nucleotides long. RefSeq lists it as uncharacterized. The record is from RefSeq and is a predicted model, not a curated record. The transcript is spliced from 4 exons. NCBI's taxonomy places the organism in Eukaryota, Metazoa, Arthropoda, Insecta, Hemiptera, Cicadellidae.